UCGCUUUGGUAGUGCAUAUACUAAAAAUUGGAAAUAUACAGAGAAGAUUAGCAUGGCUGCUGUGCAAGGAAGACAUACAAAUUUGUGAAGCAUUUCAUAUUUGU
Rhinolophus ferrumequinum (greater horseshoe bat) is the source of this 104-nucleotide small nuclear RNA. The record is from Ensembl. Lineage: Eukaryota; Metazoa; Chordata; Mammalia; Chiroptera; Rhinolophidae.